Molecule: transfer RNA, 76 nt
Filed under: Clostridia bacterium
Lineage: Bacteria; Bacillati; Bacillota; Clostridia
Description: tRNA-Pro
Rfam family: tRNA
About the family: Transfer RNA (tRNA) molecules are approximately 80 nucleotides in length. Their secondary structure includes four short double-helical elements and three loops (D, anti-codon, and T loops).
Source: RNAcentral
CGGGGUGUAGCGCAGUUGGUAGCGCGCUUGAAUGGGGUUCAAGAGGCCGUGGGUUCAACUCCCGCCACUCCGACCA